UACGAAGGGGGCUAGCGUUGUUCGGAUUUACUGGGCGUAAAGCGCACGUAGGCGGAUUGUUAAGUCAGGGGUGAAAUCCUGGAGCUCAACUCCAGAACUGCCUUUGAUACUGGCAAUCUCGAGUCCGGAAGAGGUGAGUGGAACUCCUAGUGUAGAGGUGGAAUUCGUAGAUAUUAGGAAGAACACCAGUGGCGAAGGCGGCUCACUGGUCCGGAACUGACGCUGAGGUGCGAAAGCGUGGGGAGCAAACAGG
Molecule: ribosomal RNA, 253 nt
Filed under: uncultured bacterium
Lineage: Bacteria
Description: partial 16S ribosomal RNA
Rfam family: Bacterial small subunit ribosomal RNA
Source: RNAcentral